This 72-nucleotide transfer RNA is filed under the name Prevotella sp. Rep29. Its description in RNAcentral is "tRNA-Arg". It matches the Rfam family "tRNA". Rfam says of the family: Transfer RNA (tRNA) molecules are approximately 80 nucleotides in length. Their secondary structure includes four short double-helical elements and three loops (D, anti-codon, and T loops). Further hydrogen bonds mediate the characteristic L-shaped molecular structure. tRNAs have two regions of fundamental functional importance: the anti-codon, which is responsible for specific mRNA codon recognition, and the 3' end, to which the tRNAs corresponding amino acid is attached (by aminoacyl-tRNA synthetases). tRNAs cope with the degeneracy of the genetic code in two manners: having more than one tRNA (with a specific anti-codon) for a particular amino acid; and 'wobble' base-pairing, i.e. permitting non-standard base-pairing at the 3rd anti-codon position. Lineage: Bacteria; Pseudomonadati; Bacteroidota; Bacteroidia; Bacteroidales; Prevotellaceae. RNAcentral also lists the same sequence under 1 other name. The record is from RNAcentral.
GGUCUCAUAGUUCAAUGGAUAGAACAAGUCUCUCCUAAAGAUUAGAUCGGGGUUCGAUUCCCCGUGAGACCG